CGAAAUUCCUUGUCGGGUAAGUUCCGACCUGCACGAAUGGUGUAAUGAUCUGGACACUGUCUCAACCGUGAGCUCGGUGAAAUUGUAGUAUCGGUGAAGAUGCCGAUUACCCGCAACGGGACGGAAAGACCCCGUGAACCUUUACUGCAGCUUUGCAUUGAACUGUGAACCGAUUUGUGUAGGAUAGGUGGGAGGCAGAGAAGAGGCCACGCCAGUGGUCUUGGAGCCGACCUUGAAAUACCACCCUGAUUUGUUUGCGGUUCUAACCACGGACAGUGAUCCUGUCUUGGGACCGUGCAUGGUAGGCAGUUUGACUGGGGCGGUCUCCUCCUAAAGGGUAACGGAGGAGUGCGAAGGUACGCUAAUCACGGUCGGAAAUCGUGAGGAUACUGCAAUGGGAAAAGCGUGCCUGACUGCGAGACAGACAAGUCGAGCAGAUGCGAAAGCAGGUCAUAGUGAUCCGGUGGCUUCUGUAUGGAAGGGCCAUCGCUCAACGGAUAAAAGGUACUCUGGGGAUAACAGGCUGAUACCGCCCAAGAGUUCAUAUCGACGGCGGUGUUUGGCACCUCGAUGUCGGCUCAUCUCAUCCUGGGGCUGUAGUCGGUCCCAAGGGUAUGGCUGUUCGCCAUUUAAAGAGGUACGUGAGCUGGGUUUAAAACGUCGUGAGACAGUUUGGUCCCUAUCUACCGCGGGCGCUGGAAGAUUGACAGGGGCUGCUCCUAGUACGAGAGGACCGGAGUGGACGCACCUCUGGUGUAUCGGUUGUGACGCCAGUCGCAUUGCCGAGUAGCUAUGUGCGGAAGAGAUAACCGCUGAAAGCAUCUAAGCGGGAAACUUGCCUGAAGAUUAGUCUUCCCGGAGGCUUGACCUCCCUGAAGGGUCGUCCGAGACCAGGACGUUGAUAGGCCAGGUGUGGAAGCGCUGUGAGGCGUGAAGCUAACUGGUACUAAUUGCCCGUGCGGCUUGAUCCU
Molecule: ribosomal RNA, 971 nt
Filed under: human gut metagenome
Description: bacterial LSU rRNA
Rfam family: Bacterial large subunit ribosomal RNA
Source: RNAcentral